Molecule: non-coding RNA, 1042 nt
Organism: Paramuricea clavata
Lineage: Eukaryota; Metazoa; Cnidaria; Anthozoa; Malacalcyonacea; Plexauridae
Source: the annotation of a GenBank genome assembly
CAGCAUAUGAUUAGCCAUUGAGGUCAGUGGCAGUGGCAUUAGUCUGCACGGCACGCGGUUCAAGUUCAUUGCCUCGUUUUCCUUAUAGGACAUUAGCCUCGAUUUCGUUAGAUUUCCAUGUGCUUUCCAUAUUUUCAGAUAGAACGCACUGUUUGCAAGGUCUACUGCUAUUGGCUGAAGCAAAUAUUUGUGGUCAUGGUGGUCGACGAAUCAGAAUAAGAUGUCUCCUCCCUUAUUUCCGUUGAAUCAUUUCUCCCUUACUUCCGUUUAAUCAUUUAGAAGGUAUUAUGCGCGAAGGUAUUAUGAAAAAUAUUAGGGACUUUAGUACAACGUUUGCAUUAUAGUACGUAAGAAGUGGACACCCAGCAAAUUGGUUCAGUACUAUUGUGGGCCUAAAUGUGGAAUUCUACUCAAUAGAAAGCCUCUGUUUUGAUCUCGUCAAGCUGUUUUAAAUUCAUAACGAUUGUUUCGAAUGAAUUUGUUUUGCCCAGUCGUCGUCGCUUUGCCGUCCUACAUCUUGGAAUAUUAGAGACCUUACGAUUUAGGACGGCAACGCGACGGCAAUUCAAUAUAUGAAUAAUUUAGACAUCGUCGCGUUGCCGUCCUAUAUAAGGCUGUAAUAAUUCCACAUGCAGCCAUAUGCGCGUGAGAUGAUGUUUCCUAGCUAUUAAAAUAAUGAGAAGUACUCUAUUUUAGGUAACCACAAUUGCUAUAAAGACGCUGAAGAUUAGAUUCAUUCGUGAUUCACAUUUUGUGGCAAACGGCUAAAAAGCAAGACAACUUACUUAAUCAAGCACUUUCUAACCGUUCAAGUUCUCAUUUAAUAAUUUAUAUUGUUAUACAUAGUACGUUGGUAAACUGUGUUAUUAAUUAAUUAAAAUAAAGCUGACAUUCCUAUGGGGUUAUGUCGUAUUGAUAUUUUAUCCGCACGUUUUACGCAUCUCUAUAUAGCAUCUCUAUUGUAUAGUCGCGGAUAUAUGUACGGUGGGGUUAUGUAGUAUUGAUAUUGUAUGCGCAAUUUAUUUAUGUACAUACCUAAGGC